GCCUUGGCUCUCGGAGGCGAUGAAGGACGUGAUAAGCUGCGAUAAGCUUCGGGUAGGUGCAAAUAACCUUUGAUCCGAAGAUUUCCGAAUGGGACAACCCGUCAUUCUGAAGGAAUGACAUCUUGCAUAGCAAGAGGCUAACGCAGGGAACUGAAACAUCUUAGUACCUGUAGGAAAAGAAAAUAAUAAUGAUUCCCCUAGUAGUGGCGAGCGAACGGGGAUUAGCCCAAACCAAUGUUGUUACGGCAAUAUUGGGGUUGUAGGACCACGAUGUCGCAAGAAGUUUAGUGAGAAGAACCCUUUGGAAAAUGGGACCAUAGACGGUGAUAGUCCGGUAUUCGAAGCUAAAUGAAGCGUAGUGGUAUCCUGAGUAGCGCGGGACACGAGGAAUCUUGCGUGAAUCUGCCGGGACCAUCCGGUAAGGCUAAAUACUCCCGAGAGACCGAUAGCGAACCAGUACUGUGAAGGAAAGGUGAAAAGCACUUCGAAUAGAAGAGUGAAAUAGUCCCUGAAACCGUGCGCCUACAAGCGGUCGGAGCUGCUUCAGCAGUGACGGCGUGCCUUUUGCAUAAUGAACCUACGAGUUACUUUUUCCGGCAAGGUUAAGGAUCUUGAGAUCCGCAGCCGAAGCGAAAGCGAGUCUUAACAGGGCGAUUAGUCGGAAGGAGUAGACGCGAAACCAAGUGAUCUACCCUUGGUCAGGUUGAAGGUUAGGUAACACUAACUGGAGGACCGAACCGAUAAGCGUUGAAAAGCUUCCGGAUGAACUGAGGGUGGGGGUGAAAGGCUAAUCAAACUUGGAGAUAGCUCGUACUCCCCGAAAUGCAUUUAGGUGCAGCCUUGGGAAUUACUACUGUGAGGUAGAGCGACUGAUAAGAUGCGAGGGCUUCACCGCCUAUCAAGUCUUGAUAAACUCCGAAUGCGCAGUAGUUCGAUCCCAGGAGUGAGGGCAUGGGUGCUAAGGUCCAUGUCCUAAAGGAGAAGAAUCCGGACCAUCAGCUAAGGUCCCGAAAUAAUUGCUAAGUUGAACUAACGAAGUCAGAUUGCUAAGACAGCUAGGAUGUUGGCUUGGAAGCAGCCAUUCAUUUAAAGAGUGCGUAACAGCUCACUAGUCGAGGAGUUUGGCGUGGAUAAUAAUCGGGCAUCAAGUAUUCUACCGAAGCUUUGGGAUGUGUAAACAUCGGUAGGGGAGCAUUCCACUCGGCAUUGAAGGUGAGGCGUGAGCCUUGCUGGAGCGUGUGGAAAAGCAAAUGUAGGUAUAAGUAACGAUAAAGGGGGUGAGAAACCCCCUCGCCGAAAGACUAAGGUUUCCUGAUCAACGCUAAUCGGAUCAGGGUUAGUCGGGUCCUAAGGCUCAGCCGAACGGUGAGGCCGAUGGCAGAACAGGUUAAUAUUCCUGUACUACCUUAAGGAGUGACGUGGAGACGGAGGAGUGACAGCGCCGCGGACUGACGGAAUAGUCCGUUGAAGGGUGUAGAUGUUGAUUAUCCCAGGCAAAUCCGGGAUAAGAGUCGAACCUGAUAGUAUACCAAAUUCUUCGGAAUAAGGUAAUAGUGCGUGUAAGCAUACUCCCAAGAAAAUCCGCUAAACUUAAUCUUUAAGGUACCCGUACCGCAAACGGACACACGUAGUCGGGUUGAAUAUACUAAGGCGCUUGAGUGAUUCACGGUUAAGGAACUAGGCAAAUUGACCCUGUAACUUCGGGAUAAAGGGUCCCAACGAGAGUUGGGCGCAGAGAAUAGGUCCAGGCAACUGUUUAACAAAAACACAGGGCUGUGCCAAAUUGAAAGAUUACGUAUACAGCCUGACACCUGCCCGGUGCUGGAAGGUUAAGAGGAGAUGUCAUCGCAAGAGAAGCAUUGAAUUGAAGCCCCAGUAAACGGCGGCCGUAACUAUAACGGUCCUAAGGUAGCGAAAUUCCUUGUCGGGUAAGUUC
This 1936-nucleotide ribosomal RNA is filed under the name human gut metagenome. RNAcentral describes it as "bacterial LSU rRNA". It matches the Rfam family "Bacterial large subunit ribosomal RNA", at positions 30 to 1983 of the family's 2925-position model. The record is from RNAcentral.